UGAAAAUGUUUCUGGUGUGAAGAACAUGGUCGCCAGAGUCCAGUAAUCCUACGAAUUGCCUGUGUUUUUUUCUCUUUUUUUCUCCUUGAAAUGUUGUCUGUCGAAUACAGCUUCCUUUGUAUCAAAUUGGAUACUAUGUGAGGUGACAGUAGGUCUAAUAAUCAGUUCUCUCAUUUGGCAUCAGCUAAUAAGGUGCACCGUUCACUCAUUUGGCCUUCCAGUGAUAGAGAACCUUUGGGGGCACCAACGCCUCGGAUUAUGCCUGGUAGGCCUAAAUAGGAAAGGAUAACAGAGGAAGAAUCUACAAAUGGAUAAGUAUAGAAAUCACAUGCCAUUUGUGCUUCAAGAGAGGCCACGACUCAAGAAAUUGUCCAUUGAAACAAGAGAAAAGGGAUGGAGAGAUAGUCAGACAAAGAGAAACCAACCAACUUGUCACCGAGAUGCAUCAUAAGGAUGCCACCACGCAAAGGUACUUUUAACCUUACUGUUAAGAAACAUAGUAUGCACUUGAAUGAUUACAAGAGCCAUAUUAACUUGAGCAUUUUUUGGUUCUUAAUAGCCUGGAUGGGCAGGCACUCGAGUCAUUUAUCUACCGAGAGCUAUCAACAAUGUUGUGGUCAAUGCUAUGAAGGUGGAUUGCGCAUCUCACAUAUUUAUCACUUCAGUGGGAUUAGAGGAUCAGCUUUAUGGAAGUAAACGGGUUGUUAUGUAAAGAUUUGAAAUUUUUUGAAAGUACGCAUCUCUCUCGUCAAGCUGCAAAAGGAA
Molecule: long non-coding RNA, 765 nt
Organism: Rhodamnia argentea
Lineage: Eukaryota; Viridiplantae; Streptophyta; Magnoliopsida; Myrtales; Myrtaceae
Exons: 3
Source: RefSeq, a predicted model, not a curated record